UGGGGAAUUUUGGACAAUGGGCGAAAGCCUGAUCCAGCAAUGCCGCGUGUGUGAAGAAGGCCUUCGGGUUGUAAAGCACUUUUGUCCGGAAAGAAAUCCUUGGCUCUAAUACAGUCGGGGGAUGACGGUACCGGAAGAAUAAGCACCGGCUAACUACGUGCCAGCAGCCGCGGUAAUACGUAGGGUGCAAGCGUUAAUCGGAAUUACUGGGCGUAAAGCGUGCGCAGGCGGUUUGCUAAGACCGAUGUGAAAUCCCCGGGCUCAACCUGGGAACUGCAUUGGUGACUGGCAGGCUAGAGUAUGGCAGAGGGGGGUAGAAUUCCACGUGUAGCAGUGAAAUGCGUAGAGAUGUGGAGGAAUACCGAUGGCGAAGGCAGCCCCCUGGGCCAAUACUGACGCUCAUGCACGAAAGCGUGGGGGAGCAAAACGGGAUUAGAUACCCUGGUAGUCCACGCCCUAAACGAUGUCAACUAGUUGUUGGGGAUUCAUUUCCUUAGUAACCGUAGCUAACGCGUGAAGUUGACCGCCUGGGGGAGUACGGUCGCAAGAUUAAAACUCAAAUGAAUUGACGGGGUCAUAGCUGUUUCCUG
Molecule: ribosomal RNA, 590 nt
Filed under: uncultured bacterium
Lineage: Bacteria
Description: partial 16S ribosomal RNA
Rfam family: Bacterial small subunit ribosomal RNA
Source: RNAcentral